GAGUUUUAUAUUUAGUUUAAUUUUAAAAUUAUAUAAAAAUUUAUAUAAAAAUAAAUUAAAAUAUUAUAUUGGGGUGAUAGAAAAAUAAAAAAAACUUUUUUUAAAAAAUUAACAUAAAUAAAUGAUUGUAUGAUCCAUUAUUAAUGAUUAAAAGAAAAAAUUACCUUAGGGAUAACAGCGUAAUAUUUUUUUUUAGAACAAAUAAAAAAAAAGGAUUGC
RNAcentral lists this ribosomal RNA (219 nucleotides) under Modestia remypignoux shueyi. RNAcentral's name for it is "Satyrinae gen. 2 sp. 1 ssp. 2 JM-2020 partial large subunit ribosomal RNA". The record is from RNAcentral. Lineage: Eukaryota; Metazoa; Arthropoda; Insecta; Lepidoptera; Nymphalidae.